Molecule: ribosomal RNA, 229 nt
Filed under: uncultured bacterium
Lineage: Bacteria
Description: partial 16S ribosomal RNA
Rfam family: Bacterial small subunit ribosomal RNA
Source: RNAcentral
UGCGUAGGCGGCCUGUUAAGUCAGUGGUGAAAGGUAUCAGCUUAACUGAUGAUGUGCCAUUGAAACUAACAGGCUUGAGUACAGACGAGGUAGGCGGAAUUUAUGGUGUAGCGGUGAAAUGCAUAGAUACCAUAAAGAACACCGAUAGCGAAGGCAGCUUACUAGGCUGUUACUGACGCUGAGGCACGAAAGCGUGGGGAGCGAACAGGAUUAGAUACCCUGGUAGUCC